RNAcentral lists this ribosomal RNA (493 nucleotides) under uncultured bacterium. RNAcentral's name for it is "partial 16S ribosomal RNA". It matches the Rfam family "Bacterial small subunit ribosomal RNA", at positions 29 to 523 of the family's 1533-position model. The record is from RNAcentral.
AUUGAACGCUGGCGGCAUGCUUUACACAUGCAAGUCGAACGGUAACAGGUUAAGCUGACGAGUGGCGAACGGGUGAGUAAUGCAUCGGAACGUGCCCGAUCGUGGGGGAUAACGCAGCGAAAGCUGCGCUAAUACCGCAUACGAUCUGAGGAUGAAAGCGGGGGACCGUAAGGCCUCGCGCGAUCGGAGCGGCCGAUGUCAGAUUAGGUAGUUGGUGGGGUAAAGGCUCACUAAGCCAACGAUCUGUAGCUGGUCUGAGAGGACGACCAGCCACACUGGGACGGAGACACGGCCCAGACUCCGACGGGAGGCAGCAGUGGGGAAUUGUGGACAAUGGGCGAAAGCCUGAUCUAGCAAUGCCGCGUGCAGGAAGAAGGCCGUCGGGUUGUAAACUGCUUUUGUACGGAGCGAAAAGGCUCUCUCUAAUACAGGGGGCUCAUGACGGUACCGUAAGAAUAAGCACCGGCUAACUACGUGCCAGCCGCCGCUGUAA